Molecule: long non-coding RNA, 1391 nt
Filed under: Mytilus galloprovincialis (Mediterranean mussel)
Lineage: Eukaryota; Metazoa; Mollusca; Bivalvia; Mytilida; Mytilidae
Source: RNAcentral
UGUAAAAUGACUUUCCUAAUUAGGUCUUUCCACCUUUCCGUGGAAAGACCUAUUGAUUUUGUUCUGAUUAUUAGGUCUUUCCACCUUUCCGUGGAAAGACCUAUAGGUUUUGUUCUGAUUAUUAUUAUUAUUUUUUUUUUUCUUCCGCCUAAUUCUUUUCUUGCGUAAUAUUGAUGUUUCAAAAGAUGUCGCUUAGAUAUUUGGAAUAUGAUAUCAUAUAGUUUAUAUGCUUUAAAUACUGACAAUGGCGUAACAAAAUACUUAACGUUGUAAGAGUUAUCUCUCCAAACACUGUUUUUCUUGUGGCCACUACUCCUUCGCAACCAUAAAAGAUUACGACAAAAUUAUUUUACCAAAUUGCUCGUUACAUCUUCAGAAUUAGGAUUUUAAUUUUGACCGAAGCUAUCCAGAGACUCCAAAUGAGAGUUAUUCCCCCUUAUGUAUUUGAUAUAAGUGAUAUGCGUUUCUAACUGGUAAACCAUAAAUGAUAGAGACCUAGGGUCUCUUGAUUUGAGAUCCUUAGUCCAAAAAAAUGAAAAUAAGGUCAAGGUCAAAGGUCAAGGUCAUAUUCUAAAAUUUGAUUUUGGCUUAUUUUCACUUAUUUUUAAAUACCGUAUGACAUAUCGACAAAUAUUUUUUCCAAAAUUGUUAGUUGCGACAUGUCCUUACUUGUAUAUUUUGGUUGAAAGGGUGCGCAUACAAGAAAUGGGAGUUUUUGUCCAUCUUACAUUUAGAAUUACGCGUAAAGUGGUAUUACUCAUUAAUCAAACAUAUUAAAGACCUAGGGUCUUUUGAUUUAAGGUCCUUGGUUUGUGACCUUGAAAUUGAGGUCAAGGUCAUAGGUUUAUACAACGUUCUAGAUUUUGACCUUUGCUUUAAAUUCAUAUAAAUACAUCAUAAAGCCAUAGGAACUAACAUUUGAAACUGAUUUUUCAUAUUUCAAUAUCAAAAUAGAUCUUUACUUGUGGAAAGACCUACAAUUGUUCUCUGAACAAUUGUUUUUAAUUAUUAUUUUUUUUUUCUUCCGCCUAAUUUUUUUCUUGCGUAAUAUUGACGUUUCAAAAGAUGUCGCUUAGAUAUUUGGAAUAUGAUAUCGUAAAGCGUAUGCGCUUUUAAAACUGACAGCUGCGUAACCAAAUACUUUACGUUGUAAGAGUUAUCUCCCCAAACACUGUUUUUCUUGUGGCCACUACUCCUUUGCAACCAUAAAAGAUUACGACAAAUUUAUUUUACCAAAUUGCUCGUUACAUCUUCAGGAUUCGGAGUUUAAUUUUGACCGAAGCUAUCCGGAGACUCGAUAUGGGAGUUAUUUCCCCUUAUGUAUAUGAUAUAAGUGAUUUGCAUUUCUAACUGGUAAACCAUAAGUGAUAAAGACCUAGGGUCUUUUGAUU